AUUGAACGCUGGCGGCAUGCCUUACACAUGCAAGUCGAACGGCAGCACGGGAGCAAUCCUGGUGGCGAGUGGCGAACGGGUGAGUAAAGUAUCGGAACGUGCCCAGUCGUGGGGGAUAACGUAGCGAAAGUUACGCUAAUACCGCAUAACGUCGCAAGACCAAAGUGGGGGACCUUCGGGCCUCACACCCUCGGAUGUGCCCAGAUGGGAUUAGCUAGUAGGUGGGGUAAUGGCUCACCUAGGCGACGAUCCCUAGCUGGUCUGAGAGGAUGACCAGCCACACUGGAACUGAGACACGGUCCAGACUCCUACGGGAGGCAGCAGUGGGGAAUAUUGCACAAUGGGCGCAAGCCUGAUGCAGCCAUGCCGCGUGUAUGAAGAAGGCCUUCGGGUUGUAAAGUACUUUCAGCGGGGAGGAAGGCGGUGAAGUUAACAGCUUCACCGAUUGACGUUACCCGCAGAAGAAGCACCGGCUAACUCCGUGCCAGCAGCCGCAGUAA
Molecule: ribosomal RNA, 500 nt
Filed under: uncultured bacterium
Lineage: Bacteria
Description: partial 16S ribosomal RNA
Rfam family: Bacterial small subunit ribosomal RNA
Source: RNAcentral